This is a non-coding RNA of Cinara cedri, 1030 nucleotides long. The record is from the annotation of a GenBank genome assembly. NCBI's taxonomy places the organism in Eukaryota, Metazoa, Arthropoda, Insecta, Hemiptera, Aphididae.
AACCUAUACGCACAAUCCGGUCGGCGAAAACACACGACGGUUUCAGAUAAAGCGUGGCUAUGGUGUGGGGGGGAGGGUGGUACGCGAAAAAAUAUGUAUAUUAGUCGUAGGUUUUUUUCUUUUUAACGGAUAUUCAUGUAUCGAUCCCUAAAGAUAUGUCCUGCAGUUACGCCGCCGGACUAUUUGCGUAUGUNUUUUUUUCUUUUUAACGGAUAUUCAUGUAUCGAUCCCUAAAGAUACGUCCUGCAGUUACGCCGCCGGACUAUUUGCGUAUGUGUACGCAUGUGACCCCGGUGUGUCUUAUAUUAUACGACUCGUUAUUGUAGCUGCGCCAAGGAUUCGACUCAAAUAACAUCCGAAAAUAUCCGUUUCACACUCGUUUCUAUAUUCGUUAAUUUGCUACUGCGAGUAACCGCAAUAAUAGGUUUGUUUGUUUGUUUUUUUUUUUUUUUUUAUAGAUUCUGAGUGGAACGAAAACGCUAUUGUACGCUAUUGUUAAUCGUUUAGAUGUGUUAUUUUUCUAUCGACACUCGGAAAACCCAUUUCCAGCCGGGGCACUUCGAUAGAGUCGCGUUUCCGACCGGCGGUAUUCCGGAUGGAAAAUAACGUUUAUAGAUUUCCGAUAGGUUUUUUUUUAUUUUUUUUUUUUUUUCCCUAUAGAAAACCGACAAAGAAACGACGACGCGAUACGUCGGUUUCGGUUUUGUCGUCGGUUUCCGCGGGCCCGCCGGCUUACCUUUCCGACCUUCCAUCACGCUCGUCCGGCUUCAACACACAUUUUCGGGCUACGGGGCGAAACAAUCACAAUAACAGAACAAAACAAAACCCGUUAAUUUUUCACAUUAUAUAUUAUUAUAUACGUAUUGUGCACACACAUUUUUAAUGAACAUCUCGGCGAACAAUAAUGUAAUAUUUUUUUUUUUCCAUAUCGAAUGCAUAAAUAUAUUAUUUAUCCGCUUAAACGUAUGUAUGUAUAUAUAUAUAAAUAUAAUUAUUAUUGUUAAUAGACGUACGUUUUUUUUUUUUUUUU